UGCAUCUGAAAUCUUGUGUCUAUGUCGAACUCUAUGGAAAGGAGCGGCUCCAAACUCUGUUUAUGGCCUAGUAUAUAAAUGAUCCAAGGCUAAAGCAAAGAGAUUUUGAUGCAAGGGUUGAGAUAGAAGUUCAAAAAACUAUCACAGUUAUCCAAGCUGAUAUGGAGAAAAAGUUGGCAGAAGCAAAAGAAGAUAUGAAAGCAACAAUAGAUGAUUAAGUAAAGGCCGGUGUCCAAGCAUAUCUAGAGAGUAUAAGUAUUACAAUUGACUCAAAUAGUAAAUCAAUCACUAAUGAGCAGGUUUUCGAUAACUCACAUGAAGAUCACCAACAAUCAUUAUCACCGAUUUCAGUUGUUCACAAAAAUAAGGUUAACAAAAUUAAGAACAACGAAACUAAUGAACUUGGGACCAAAAAAAGGGGGUAAGUUUGGAAAAACAUGUAACACAUAUGGUACUUUUUCAAUUUUAUUACAUAGUUGUAAUUCUCCUUUUAUGUGAUUCUUUGCAUAACUUCUGAAGGAUGUAAGAUCAAUUAUUGGCAAGGAAUACUUGGCUUGUGGAAAGAUAGAUCCAUAAAGCCUUGCUACAGAAUUUAUUCUGGAGUUUAAGAAAAUUCGUUCGGAUUAG
Nicotiana tabacum (common tobacco) is the source of this 627-nucleotide non-coding RNA. The record is from RefSeq and is a predicted model, not a curated record. Lineage: Eukaryota; Viridiplantae; Streptophyta; Magnoliopsida; Solanales; Solanaceae.